RNAcentral lists this ribosomal RNA (404 nucleotides) under uncultured bacterium. Its description in RNAcentral is "bacterial SSU rRNA". It matches the Rfam family "Bacterial small subunit ribosomal RNA", at positions 29 to 419 of the family's 1533-position model. The record is from RNAcentral.
AACGAACGCUGGCGGCGUGCCUAACACAUGCAAGUCGAGGGAGAAAGCCCGCAAGGGUGAGUAAACCGGCGAACGGGUGCGUAACACGUGGAUAAUCUACCUUCCUGACCGGGACAACUGGCCGAAAGGCUUGCUAAUACCAGAUAAGCCCACGGCGUCCUUGGACGCUGAGGGAAAAGGUGGCCUCUGCAUGCAAGCUAUCGCAGGGAGAUGAGUCCGCGGCCCAUCAGCUAGUUGGCGGGGUAAAAGCCACCAAGGCUACGACGGGUAGCUGGUCUGAGAGGAUGAUCAGCCACACUGGAACUGAGACACGGUCCAGACUCCUACGGGAGGCAGCAGUGGGGAAUCUUGCGCAAUGGGCGAAAGCCUGACGCAGCAACGCCGCGUGUGUGAUGAAGGUCUUC